CAGAGUUUGAUCCUGGCUCAGAUUGAACGCUGGCGGAAUGCUUUACACAUGCAAGUCGAGCGGCAGCGCGGGGCAACCUGGCGGCGAGCGGCGAACGGGUGAGUAAUAGAUAGGAACGUGUCCGGGAGUGGGGGAUAACUAGCCGAAAGGUUAGCUAAUACCGCAUAUUCUCUGUGGAGGAAAGCGGGGGCUCGCAAGACCUCGCGCUCGCGGAGUGGCCUAUCUCCGAUUANCUAGUUGGUGAGGUAAAGGCUUACCCAGGCGACGAUCGGUANCUGGUCUGANAGGAUGAUUCCCCCCCCUUGGGACUGACACCCAGCCCAGACUCCUACGGGAGGCAACAUAGGGGGAUAUUCGGUCAUCGGGGGCUACCCUGAUGAGACACAUGCCACCCGCGCGCCCGAAUGGCACCAGAGUACCACUCUCUAGU
Molecule: ribosomal RNA, 430 nt
Filed under: uncultured beta proteobacterium
Lineage: Bacteria; Pseudomonadati; Pseudomonadota; Betaproteobacteria
Description: bacterial SSU rRNA
Rfam family: Bacterial small subunit ribosomal RNA
Source: RNAcentral